GUUCUCUCUUUCUCUUAUACUUAAUAUAACCACACAACGGAUGGACAAGUGACUGUUUUUAUGCGUUGUCAUUGGCAACAACGAAGGUAAAACUCCGCCGUCUGCUUGUUUAGUUUCCACAUAAACCUUUGACAAUGGUCAAGGCUGAAGCUGAAGAUCCUGUUUUCAAAAUAAACUAAAUUACGUGAAAUAGUAUGCAGAGUGUUUACGGACAAGAAACUAAAAACCUCGGAUCCUCUCAGAAGCAGACAGGAGAAGUUUUCCUACUCCAUAGGUGAACUGAAGAACAAGGUGACCGUCACAACCAGAGGCAGAUGCAGCUGAAGCUACAGCGAGGCCACGCAAGAUGCGGCGGGCUGACAGUGUGUCAGUAGCAGUCACAGUGCUGUGACAUAAUGAUGGAGCAGUCAAAGGCUCGCUUUGAGAAAGCACAGAACCUGGUGUCUUUUGACUUCAAUGACGGGGUGAUUAACAUGUUUGCAUCUCAGAAAACCCGACGAUGUGAUCUUCUCUUUAAAUAAGGUAAGCCAGACCCCUCUCUUUCUCUCUCUAUCCCCUUAAAACAGGUAACACGUGUGAGUAGAAUAAAACAACGAUUAGAAUGGAAUGUGCUUAGGUUUGCUCAGAUAAUAGGGAGCGGCUGGAGAUCAGAGGAACAGGAAAUGAUUCGUAAGCGUGUGUUUUGUUAGGAUAACUUUGUCAGCCUCUGUUUAAAGGACAAUAGUGGAAUUUUAUUCUCAAAGCAUUUCAUGGGACCUUAAAGCUCUCCAGAAUGAGAUUAUGUUGCUGACCCCUGACAUCCCAAAUCAGUGGGUGUAGCUAUAAACCUUGAUGGGUAAGUGUAUAGUUUGAGGAAUCUAUUGACAGUGGGGGUCUGCCUGCCAUAAAAUGAGGAGUAAAAGCUGCCUCAGCUAAACAGGAAGAACAGUUACUAGUCUGGGGGAAAUGUAUUUACCCAGUUGUGAGCUCUAGUAACCUCCCUUGUCUCACUAUCACUCCUCCUCACAUGGAAGAGUGAUUCAGACUGUGGCCAGGACCUGAGUUAUACUAAAGCUUUUAAGGAUACUGAACAACAUUUAAUAAAAUUUCCACUCAUUUGCAGCACUGUUUUGAAAUAUAAACAGACUGAUGAGGGAAAUGAGAUGUUGACAGUGAAAGUUGGUGUCUGCAGGAUGUUUCAGUUCCUCUCCCCUCAUCAGUGACAGUCAGGAGGUUUUUGUACAGCCAUGUAUACAAACUGAAUCACUGUGGUAUUCGGACAAGGCACCAAGCUGAUUUUAACAAACUCCAGCCUCCCUCCUCCUGUCCUGACAGUCUUCCCUCCGUCCAGUGCUGAGCUCC
RNA transcript from Haplochromis burtoni (Burton's mouthbrooder), 1341 nucleotides. It is a transcript of the gene named immunoglobulin lambda-1 light chain, with no coding region annotated. Lineage: Eukaryota; Metazoa; Chordata; Actinopteri; Cichliformes; Cichlidae. The transcript is spliced from 2 exons. The record is from RefSeq and is a predicted model, not a curated record.